AGAAUUUUUAAAAAAUAAUUUGUUCAGUUACUUUUUUGACCAUUCUCUCUUCUCUGAAAGCUGAAGCUUUGAGGAGCAAGAAGCAGUUUGAUCUGAGUGCUCUGCAGGAUGGCCGUGUCUCACAAUCCACCAUCCCUCGCAUCUGUCGCUUUGGAGAAGACUCCUAAGCUGCCCCUUCUAUUCCUGGUCUUCUUCUGAUUUACUGGUUGUAGUCUCCAUUCUGAUCAAUGUUUGAUCCAAGGGAAGAAUGAAGCACUUCAAAAAGUACAUGUGGGACACUGUAUUAUGGAAUUCUAAGCUGCUUUUAUUGUGUUAUUUGACUGUAUGUUGGAUUUUUGAAUUGUAUUUUUUGUAAUAAUAUGGAGGUUUGUUUGGGUACUUUUGUAUUAUGUAAUUGUUGUACACCGCCAUGAUCAUAGGAAUGGCGGUAUAUAAAUGAAAUAAAUAAUAAUAAUAAUAAUUCUGUCCCUGAUGGAUGAUAAUAGUUUUGCACAAUUUUCAUGAUUGUUCUGAUUUCAGAAUAUUUUGUGGAAAAUGUGUUGUAGUUUUGCACCAAAAUGUACAGAAACAGCACCUCUCCCCCUCUCCCAAUAUACUGUAAACACUUGUGGGUUUCUUCCCAUUUUUUUGGCACAAAAAUCUUGGAGAAGGUUUAAGCAAGUUUUGUUGUUUGUGUGAAAAAAAUUUCACUUCUCCUGGAAUGUGAAAAAUCUUGCAACAGUUCACCAUUUUCUUGAUGCACCAAGAUACUCUUUCUCACUGUGAAUUAGUGGGCAUUACUUGUAUCCAUUAUCCUUCUCAACAGUUUCCCUGUUUGUGCUUCUCGCUUUUGACAUCACAGUAACUAUAUGUUCACUGUGCCAUAAAUUAUCUGCCAUGCCUACUUGCUUGGCAAAAAGCUCGUGAUAUUUAGCCCGGAGAAAAAAGGGUUAA
Molecule: long non-coding RNA, 933 nt
Organism: Sceloporus undulatus (fence lizard)
Lineage: Eukaryota; Metazoa; Chordata; Lepidosauria; Squamata; Phrynosomatidae
Exons: 4
Source: RefSeq, a predicted model, not a curated record